GUUUGUGUUUAGUAUUACUUUCAAAUCAAGUUCGGUUCGAUUCUUCGGAUCCAUAUUUUUUAUCCAUAUUUAUUUUCUUCUACUAAUAUAAAGCAAAAUAAAAUAAUGUAAAACAAAUAUUUUGGGCUUAUUUUACAUACAUAAUUGUUGGACCAUACAUUAAGAAUACCAAUAAAAUGGUUGGGCGUCGUGUAAAUAUCUUUGAGCAUGUUGCAAAAUUGACGUAGUCGAUAACCAAUAACGUGUACUUUCUUAUUAAUAAAUUCCUAGUAAAUAUAAUAAAAACAUGAUACAACUGAGCGAAAAGGGAUCAUGGUUGCGUAAAAUUAAUAUGAUCUCUUCACUAGGCACCUGAAUUUUGUUUUUCAAUCCAUUUCGUGAAUUUUAUUUUCUUUUAAAUCUUUUCUGAUUUUUUAUUUUUCUAGCAAUUUGAUUAUGUUUCUUAUUCUUGAUUUGAUAUGAAAACUCUGUACAGAAGGGUAAUACUUGGCCAAACUAAAGAUCUGAAUUUUUCUGUGGUGUUUUUCACCUCAGUUUCCUUAAUUGAUAACCAAUUACAAUUAUUUGUUGUUUUCGUGUACAAAAGCCUCAACUAUAGCCAAGUUCAACAAGGUACGAAACUUUCAGUUUCUAAUAAUAUUCUCAUUCCAGCAUUUUAGUUGGUGUGAAUUUUAAUGAUUUGUAAUUUUUUUUCUUUCAGUAGGUGCAUGGAGAGAACUUUAAUUUACCAAUACAAAGGUUAAAAUACAUAAACUAAAAAUGAGCUGAUUAAAAAAAUUUAGUGUGUAAACACAUUAAAUUAUAUGCGAUGGAAUUAAGAAAAUUAGUGUGUGAACACAUUAAUUUUUAAAUGAUUGUGAGACUGUCACGUCAUCAUUCUGAUUUUUUUAAUGAUUCUGACACUGUCACAUGUCAAUUAGGGUGUGACCAUAUUUCUUACAAAUAUUUUUUUUAUAAUAUAAAAGAGAUUUUUUUUGUAAUCUCAAAGAAAAUUUUCUAGCUGAUGUUUAUCUCACAAGGUUUUUUUUACUAUAAAGAUUAAAGAAUGAAGAUCCCCAUUUCACGUACCAGGGUUCUUUUAAAUGGUGAGAGUCGAUAUUACGCUUGUCUUUUACUUCUUUUGUUUCGUAAUAAAUGUUGUUUUAAAAAAAAAAAAAUCUUGUUGCAUAAAAAUUUCACUCUAGAUAUUCAAUGCAAAUUAUACUUUAUUUUUAGAUGAAGAUUAAUUGUAAACUGUAUUAAUUUUAUAAAUAAUUUUAUUUAUUUCAAAUACUAUUGGUCAAAUAGGUAUAAUUUAUAACAAUUUAAAUACAUUUCAAUCACUAGCUAUCAAAUGUUCUCUAAUGCAUAAGUUAAGAGACUAGUCGUUUGAGUGCGAUUCAUGAAGUAUGUAUAGGAUCGGGUGAGGAAUUUUGUCUGUAUAUCAUAACUCAUAUAUGCUUAUAGUUAUAAAUGUUGAAAGGGUUUGUGUAUGCGAGAGGAAUGAGACUGGAAUUCUCUUCUACGUUGUUUUUCCUGUAUUAUACAUGAAAAUCUAUUUAUCUUCUAUAAGAUGCAUUUUCUCUCCUUUCAUAGAGAAGAUAAAUAGAUUUUCAUCCUAUGAAAACGUGUUUGCAUAUAUUCGGUAGGUAAACUGUUAUGAUCUUCUUCUUUCCACGUGAUCGGCGUGGGAUAAAGGUAACAAGAUCUGUGACAACUAACACCAAUUAUAAAAACAGGCUUCUAUCAACAAAUUCAAACAGCUUCAGGUAUAGACAAAAAAGGUAAGUAAAUUAAUACUUCAAAUGUCGCUGAGUAUAUAUAGUGGUUAAUUCACAAAUUUUUUUUUUAUUUUCCUUCUAGAUUAUCUAGACAUUUAGCUAUAUAUUAUAUAUGAAGUUUUGCCCGGAUUUGUACUGAUGGGACAUUACGGCAAGUUGUUUAGUUUUCCUACCUCCAAAUUCCAAAACUAAGUUCAGUGCUCACAUCUCCCUGAAGCUUAUUGUUUUUAUUUCCUCCAAACCUUCACUGUGACGAUGACUUUUCUCAUUCUUCAUCAACGUCGAUAGCAACUCUUAAAAUCCUUCUCCACCAAUCUCCUCUUAAUCUCAUCUUUGUCAGCUGACAAUGAUAUAUUAACAUACUAAGAAUAAAAGUUAACUGUUACCGGUUAA
Molecule: long non-coding RNA, 2153 nt
Organism: Brassica napus (rape)
Lineage: Eukaryota; Viridiplantae; Streptophyta; Magnoliopsida; Brassicales; Brassicaceae
Exons: 2
Source: RefSeq, a predicted model, not a curated record